Molecule: ribosomal RNA, 250 nt
Filed under: uncultured prokaryote
Description: partial 16S ribosomal RNA
Rfam family: Bacterial small subunit ribosomal RNA
Source: RNAcentral
UACGGAGGGUGCGAGCGUUAAUCGGAAUUACUGGGCGUAAAGGGUGCGUAGGUGGUACAGCAAGUCACAUGUAGAAGCCCUGGGCUCAACCUGGGAAUGUCGUGUGAUACUGUUGAACUGGAGUACGGGAGAGGGCAGUGGAAUUUCCGGUGUAGCGGUGAAAUGCGUAGAUAUCGGAAGGAACACCGGUGGCGAAGGCGGCUGCCUGGCCUGAUACUGACACUGAGGCACGAAAGCGUGGGGAGCAAAC